UACGUAGGGUGCAAGCGUUAAUCGGAAUUACUGGGCGUAAAGCGUGCGCAGGCGGUUGUGCAAGUCAGAUGUGAAAUCCCCGGGCUUAACCUGGGAAUUGCAUUUGUGACUGCACGGCUAGAGUGUGGCAGAGGGGGGUAGAAUUCCACGUGUAGCAGUGAAAUGCGUAGAUAUGUGGAGGAAUACCGAUGGCGAAGGCAGCCCCCUGGGAUAACACUGACGCUCAUGCACGAAAGCGAGGGGAGCGAACGGG
RNAcentral lists this ribosomal RNA (253 nucleotides) under uncultured bacterium. Its description in RNAcentral is "partial 16S ribosomal RNA". It matches the Rfam family "Bacterial small subunit ribosomal RNA", at positions 524 to 776 of the family's 1533-position model. The record is from RNAcentral.